This is a long non-coding RNA of Triticum aestivum (bread wheat), 2471 nucleotides long. RefSeq lists it as uncharacterized. The transcript has 3 exons. The record is from RefSeq and is a predicted model, not a curated record. NCBI's taxonomy places the organism in Eukaryota, Viridiplantae, Streptophyta, Magnoliopsida, Poales, Poaceae.
UCUCUUAUAUGUGUUCUCAAAGAAUUUGGUACUCAGCACUUGGAUUUUUUAUCUGAACCUAUCAUCUCAAAGCCUUGGGUAGAACACAAGCAAUUGUGAGAUAGAGCUAUUUGCUACACCGUUUAGAAAACAGAACUGAUAAACUCUCGGUAGUACCUAUAUUGAUUAGCUAUGUGCUUACCUGUAAGUUCUUUGCGAAUUAUUGUAAUUCUUGGUACAUCAAGGUUUAAAUAAUGAAAAUGAGAACUACAUGUUGAGCAUUGCUUAUAAUGAAAACGUACGUCCAUGGUUUAAAGAAGCUUUAUUGUUUCAGUCUAUACUGAAGCUUAUAUUGUUCCCCGGUUGAUCUAGACAUCAAAUAUUUUAAGCUUCCUUUUUCUGAGCCAAUGGGCGAACUAAGAAAGGGAAAUUCGUUCCUUAAAUAGUAGUGGCAUUUUACUACGCAGAUAAUACCGACAAUUUCUCAAAUGAGUCAGCAUUAUCAUUCAGUCAGUAGGUUACUAAAUAAAGCCGGAGUUCGCAUGGAGCACCAACGAUAACCUCAAGCAGAUGCAUCGAGACAGGCAAAUCAGAGUUUAUGGCACCCGAACUCUUCACUGGCAAUUUUAACGAGUUGGUGGACAUAUAUUCGUUUUGGAUGUGCAUGCCUGAAAUGAAAAGAAAAUGAUGGAAAAGUCUUGGACCUUGCUUAAUGCUUGGAACUACACCUUUCCAAACAUCCUUCUUGCUUGAUGCCAAGAGGAUUUCUCCAAGAGAUUGGAACUAUGUUCCUCUGCAGUUCUCCAUUCAGACAUUUCUAUGGUUAGAGCUUUCUUCUGACAAAAUUGUGCUGGUGUCUGGUUGUAAAACGUAUUUCCUAUUACAGCUGAGAAAGAGAGUAAGUAAAAAGGGUAAGCCAAGGGCUAGCUAAAAUUCCAAAAGGACUAUUUCCUGAGGUAUUUGUCGCCGGCCAACCUGUCAUCAACCCAGGGUUGGUCGCUUGAACGACAUUCACUUCGAGGGAGUUUUGAUUAAAAGUUUGUGACUUGUCAUGCAUGGAACAUGCAUCUUUUGUUAACAUUUUCAUUGCAUUAUAUAUUAUAUAAAAGCGACAAAGUAGUGUUCUGGUCAUUGCUUUAGUAAAACAAAUAUACGUAGUAUAUGGUUAUGAAGUUGAAUGAAUGCUCAAUGGUCGGUUCAAGACUUCAAGAAAUUCAUAAUUUGUUCUGUGUGUUUUGAUUAAAAUGUGACCUAGCUCAGUUGCCAGACUGUGGAUAGAGGGAUGUAUGGCCACCACUUUGCCGGAAUACCAACAGUUAGCCAUUUUUUUGGGUAUAGCUAUCAACUAGAAUCCACAGCUUCACAUUUCUCUUUGUUCAAAUGUUCUCUAAAUACAUGUAACUUAUAUGGCACAAUUUCGAUGCCACUUGUAAGUUGUAACUUCACAUGAUUUGGUGAUUUGUCAAAGAAUGACGGUGUCGGAGAAGACGAGGGGGGAGGGGGCACUGAGCCAACAAAGGAGGCGGCUAUGGUAGGGCGAGUCGAUGAGGUGUAACACGUUAGCACUACUACGGGAGGGGAUCAAGGCAGAGAGUUGAGUGGUUGGUAGGGGACUUCUCGGCGGUCCGUGGGGAAGCACGGUGUGAAGGAGAGAGGGCACCAUAGCGAAGGUGAGGUGGGCAUUAUCCGGUUUUAAAGAAGAGGACUCCAGCGAGAAAUGCCUUGCUACAGAGGGAAACCGAGCGUGAAGGGCAGAUUUCGACAGGAAAUGGGAAGGGUGCAUCGCGGGGUGGUUUAGAUUCAGGGGAGCCCAAAAUGUCUAGAUGGUUGAAUUUUGGGAGCCUGCUGGGAGUCCAUUUGAUGUCCGGACACGUUCAAACAUAUGAGAAAGAGUGUGUUAGCAGUGGGUAUAUCUGAAGAUUAUUUCUCAACUCGGCAUGUGGGUAGAGACUAAAAAGACGAUGCCAUGGUAGCAUGGCAGACCUGGCAAGUGCCACGAACAUCAUGAUAUUCUUCCUUUCCUUAAUUCCUUGAUUUGAAAAAUAAUUUGCUCGUGUGAAGCUGUACAUAGCAGUCGGGCAAACGACACUUUGGCAUCUUGAUCUAUCAAGGAAAAUAUAUUUUUUACUUUAGAAAAUGUGGGUUCAGAUUGGUCUGUUGAGUUAUGGCUGGUUGAUCGGAAUAAUUUUUCUAUUUAAAUAAUGUAGCAAAUAGCAUUUCAUUAGAGAUUGUCCGUUGAGUUAUGGCUGGCUGAUCGGAAUAAUUUUCCUAUUUAAAAAUGUAGCAAAUAGCAUUUCAUUAGAGAUGGCUUUGCAGCAAAUUGCAAAUCACGCAAACCAAGCCAUCAUCGCCUCGUCGCUCUCGCUGGGAGCGACAACAACUGCCGGUUUCUUCUUCGCCUUCUUAGCCGGCAUCUCCUCCAUCCGGAUGCCCUGCGGCACGAGCCACUUCACCACCGCCUGGGACUCGACCUCCAGGAAGUUUAGGUCCGU